AUUGAACGCUGGCGGCAGGCGUAACACAUGCAAGUCGAACGAGUGGCGGACGGGUGAGUAAUGUCUGGGAAACUGCCUGUUGGAGGGGGAUAACUACUGGGAACGGUAGCUAAUACCGCAUACCGUCGGAUGUGGCCAGAUGGGAUUGGCUUGUAGGUGGGGUAACGGUUCACCUAGGCGACGAUCGCUGGCUGGCCUGUGGGGAUGACCAGCCACACUGGACCUGAGACACGGUCCAGCCUCCUACGGGAGGCAGCAGUGGGGAAUAUUGCACAAUGGGUGCAAGCCUGAUGCAGCCAUGCCUGGUGUAUGACGAAGGCCUUCGGGUUGGAAAGUACUUUCAGCGGGGAGGCUUUACCCGCAGAAGAAGCACCGGCUAACUCCGUGCCAGCAGCCGCGGUAAUUC
RNAcentral lists this ribosomal RNA (406 nucleotides) under uncultured bacterium. Its description in RNAcentral is "partial 16S ribosomal RNA". It matches the Rfam family "Bacterial small subunit ribosomal RNA", at positions 30 to 526 of the family's 1533-position model. The record is from RNAcentral.